GCCUGGGUGGCUCAGUUGGUUGAGCGUCUGACUUCACCUCAGGUCAUGCUCUCCCAGUCCGUGAGUUCAAGUCCCACAUUGGGCU
Molecule: transfer RNA, 85 nt
Filed under: Felis catus (domestic cat)
Lineage: Eukaryota; Metazoa; Chordata; Mammalia; Carnivora; Felidae
Rfam family: tRNA
About the family: Transfer RNA (tRNA) molecules are approximately 80 nucleotides in length. Their secondary structure includes four short double-helical elements and three loops (D, anti-codon, and T loops).
Source: Rfam by way of RNAcentral